CGACUUAUAUUCAGUGGCAAGGUUAACCGUAUAGGGGAGCCGUAGCGAAAGCGAGUCUUAACUGGGCGCUCAGUCUCUGGAUAUAGACCCGAAACCGGGUGAUCUAGCCAUGGGCAGGUUGAAGGUUGAGUAACAUCAACUGGAGGACCGAACCGACUAAUGUUGAAAAAUUAGCGGAUGACUUGUGGCUAGGGGUGAAAGGCCAAUCAAACUCGGAGAUAGCUGGUUCUCCCCGAAAGCUAUUUAGGUAGCGCCUCGGACGAAUACUACUGGGGGUAGAGCACUGUUAAGGCUAGGGGGUCAUCCCGACUUACCAACCCUUUGCAAACUCCGAAUACCAGUAAGUACUAUCCGGGAGACACACGGCGGGUGCUAACGUCCGUCGUGGAGAGGGAAACAACCCAGACCGCCAGCUAAGGUCCCAAAGUAUUGCUAAGUGGGAAACGAUGUGGGAAGGCUCAGACAGCUAGGAUGUUGGCUUAGAAGCAGCCAUCAUUUAAAGAAAGCGUAAUAGCUCACUAGUCGAGUCGGCCUGCGCGGAAGAUGUAACGGGGCUAAGCAAUACACCGAAGCUGCGGCAAUGUCUUUUAGACAUUGGGUAGGGGAGCGUUCUGUAAGCCGUUGAAGGUGAAUCGUAAGGUUUGCUGGAGGUAUCAGAAGUGCGAAUGCUGACAUGAGUAACGACAAAGGGGGUGAAAAACCUCCUCGCCGGAAGACCAAGGGUUCCUGUCCAACGUUAAUCGGGGCAGGGUGAGUCGACCCCUAAGGUGAGGCCGAAAGGCGUAAUCGAUGGGAAACGGGUUAAUAUUCCCGUACUUCUGACUAUUGCGAUGGGGGGACGGAGAAGGCUAGGUGGGCCAGGCGACGGUUGUCCUGGUUCAAGUGCGUAGGCUUGAGAGUUAGGUAAAUCCGGCUCUCUCUAAGGCUGAGACACGNUAAUACCUUAAUCAUUUGACGUUACCUACAGAAGAAGCACCGGCUAACUCCGUGCCAGCAGCCGCGGUAAUACGGAGGGUGCAAGCGUUAAUCGGAAUUACUGGGCGUAAAGCGCAUGCAGGUGGUUUGUUAAGUCAGAUGUGAAAGCCCUGGGCUCAACCUAGGAAUCGCAUUUGAAACUGACAAGCUAGAGUACUGUAGAGGGGGGUAGAAUUUCAGGUGUAGCGGUGAAAUGCGUAGAGAUCUGAAGGAAUACCGGUGGCGAAGGCGGCCCCCUGGACAGAUACUGACACUCAGAUGCGAAAGCGUGGGGAGCAAACAGGAUUAGAUACCCUGGUAGUCCACGCCGUAAACGAUGUCUACUUGGAGGUUGUGCCCUAGAGGUGUGGCUUUCGGAGCUAACGCGUUAAGUAGACCGCCUGGGGAGUACGGUCGCAAGAUUAAAACUCAAAUGAAUUGACGGGGGCCCGCACAAGCGGUGGAGCAUGUGGUUUAAUUCGAUGCAACGCGAAGAACCUUACCUACUCUUGACAUCCAGAGAAUCUAGCGGAGACGCUGGAGUGCCUUCGGGAGCUCUGAGACAGGUGCUGCAUGGCUGUCGUCAGCUCGUGUUGUGAAAUGUUGGGUUAAGUCCCGCAACGAGCGCAACCCUUAUCCUUGUUUGCCAGCACGUAAUGGUGGGAACUCCAGGGAGACUGCCGGUGAUAAACCGGAGGAAGGUGGGGACGACGUCAAGUCAUCAUGGCCCUUACGAGUAGGGCUACACACGUGCUACAAUGGCGUAUACAGAGGGCAGCGAUACCGCGAGGUGGAGCGAAUCUCACAAAGUACGUCGUAGUCCGGAUUGGAGUCUGCAACUCGACUCCAUGAAGUCGGAAUCGCUAGUAAUCGCAAAUCAGAAUGUUGCGGUGAAUACGUUCCCGGGCCUUGUACACACCGCCCGUCACACCAUGGGAGUGGGCUGCAAAAGAAGCAGGUAGUUUAACCUUCGGGAGGACGCUUGCCACUUUGUGGUUCAUGACUGGGGUGAAGUCGUAACAAGGUAGCGCUAGGGGAACCUGGCGCUGGAUCACCU
Molecule: ribosomal RNA, 2011 nt
Filed under: Vibrio cholerae
Lineage: Bacteria; Pseudomonadati; Pseudomonadota; Gammaproteobacteria; Vibrionales; Vibrionaceae
Description: bacterial SSU rRNA
Rfam family: Bacterial small subunit ribosomal RNA (bases 839-2011)
Source: RNAcentral